Molecule: ribosomal RNA, 460 nt
Filed under: uncultured bacterium
Lineage: Bacteria
Description: partial 16S ribosomal RNA
Rfam family: Bacterial small subunit ribosomal RNA
Source: RNAcentral
CCUACGGGUGGCAGCAGUGAGGAAUAUUGGUCAAUGGGCGUAAGCCUGAACCAGCCAAGUCGCGUGAGGGAUGAAGGUUCUAUGGAUCGUAAACCUCUUUUAUAAGGGAAUAAAGUGUGGGACGUGUCCUGUUUUGUAUGUACCUUAUGAAUAAGGAUCGGCUAACUCCGUGCCAGCAGCCGCGGUAAUACGGAGGAUCCGAGCGUUAUCCGGAUUUAUUGGGUUUAAAGGGUGCGUAGGCGGCCUUUUAAGUCAGCUGUGAAAGUCUGUGGCUCAACCAUAGAAUUGCCGUUGAAACUGGGAGGCUUGAGUAUGUGAGAGGCAGGCGGAAUGCGUGGUGUAGCGGUGAAAUGCUUAGAUAUCACGCAGAACCCCGAGUGCGAAGGCAGCCUGCCAGGCCAUAACUGACGCUGAUGCACGAAAGCGUGGGGAUCAAACAGGAUUAGAUACCCUAGUAGUC